Molecule: ribosomal RNA, 464 nt
Filed under: Vreelandella stevensii
Lineage: Bacteria; Pseudomonadati; Pseudomonadota; Gammaproteobacteria; Oceanospirillales; Halomonadaceae
Description: partial 16S ribosomal RNA
Rfam family: Bacterial small subunit ribosomal RNA
Source: RNAcentral
CCUACGGGGGGCAGCAGUGGGGAAUAUUGGACAAUGGGGGGAACCCUGAUCCAGCCAUGCCGCGUGUGUGAAGAAGGCCCUCGGGUUGUAAAGCACUUUCAGUGAGGAAGAACGCCUGGUGGUUAAUACCCAUCAGGAAAGACAUCACUCACAGAAGAAGCACCGGCUAACUCCGUGCCAGCAGCCGCGGUAAUACGGAGGGUGCAGCGUUAAUCGGAAUUACUGGGCGUAAAGCGCGCGUAGGUGGCUUGAUAAGCCGGUUGUGAAAGCCCCGGGCUCAACCUGGGAACGGCAUCCGGAACUGUCAAGCUAGAGUGCAGGAGAGGAAGGUAGAAUUCCCGGUGUAGCGGUGAAAUGCGUAGAGAUCGGGAGGAAUACCAGUGGCGAAGGCGGCCUUCUGGACUGACACUGACACUGAGGUGCGAAAGCGUGGGUAGCAAACAGGAUUAGAUACCCUGGUAGUC